AUGUGGAGAAGCUUCAUCUGGAAUUCGCCCGAGGAAGAUAUUCUUAACUUCAUCAACAAAUCUAUCCCCUCAGAACCAUAUUUUUGUACAGGCGAGACUCUCUUCAAUAUUUCUUCUAUCCAAACAAAUUUGUGCUUGAUAAAGACUAUCGUAAUUUAUGAUUAUCAAGGUGGUACUUUAGUCUACAAGUCCAAGGAAGGAGAAAAGGACCAGUUUAUUAAAAGGCGCUCCAUUUGGUUAUCAGAGAAUAUAGGAAGAAAACCUUCUGAUUUCAUCGACUCUCUUGUUCUCAAAGGCCCGAGCCGUCCCAUGACUGCUGAUGAUGGGUGGUUGAUCUUUGAAAUUGAUGUUCCGGUAAAAUCAUCUUUCGAGCCUGAAGUUGACCCUGAUAUACCUGGGAUAGUAUUCGAGACCACGUUAUUGUUGGAUGAUGAUUACCUUGACAUACCCAUGUGCAGUUUGAUUUCUAUCAGAGGUGGCUUUGUGAACAUCACAUCACAUCAGUGA
Molecule: ribosomal RNA, 507 nt
Filed under: Triticum aestivum (bread wheat)
Lineage: Eukaryota; Viridiplantae; Streptophyta; Magnoliopsida; Poales; Poaceae
Description: partial small subunit ribosomal RNA
Source: RNAcentral